Molecule: transfer RNA, 68 nt
Filed under: Hamamelistes spinosus
Lineage: Eukaryota; Metazoa; Arthropoda; Insecta; Hemiptera; Hormaphididae
Description: tRNA-Gln
Source: RNAcentral
UAUAUAUUUAAGUGUUUAUGCAUUUAGGUUUUUGGUACCUAAGGGUUAGGUUAGUUCUAAAAAUAUAA